GUUCUGAGAAACUUAUAAAUGUGUAGUUUUGUGUUUUACUAUAUUGGUAUCUGAAUUCAAAGAAAAAAUAUAAAAUUUUUUUGAAAAAAUUGAAUCUUCAAUCAUCGUUUACUGAAUCAAUAAUAGCUACACUACUACCAACGUCAAAUUUGGUGUAUUAUAUUAUUGUAGUCAAUCAGUCUAAACCAAUUCCAUCAAUACAUUGUCGAAUGUUGUGGCAUUCAAUUUUCAGUAAAUUUAUAGGUGUUUUAUUUUAAGAUACUGUGGCACACUAAUGCAGAUAACGGUUUUCCAUUAGGUCAGUAAGAAGAAUAAGAUGGAUUCACAAGUUCAAAUCAAAUAUUAGACAACUAUAUAUAUUUAGUUAUUCAGCUAAAAAUGUAAUUCAAUAAAAUAAUUUAAAAGUACUUUAUCAUGUUAAAAGUGACAUAAAGUUUUUAAACUCUAAGUAUUUAAACACACGUAUACUUAACAUAUCUAUAAUUAUAAUACAUUAUUUAUUAAUUAUUAAUGAUGAAUUCUUUAUUUAAUAUUAAUUUAAUCUAA
This is a long non-coding RNA of Adelges cooleyi (spruce gall adelgid), 546 nucleotides long. RefSeq lists it as uncharacterized. Lineage: Eukaryota; Metazoa; Arthropoda; Insecta; Hemiptera; Adelgidae. The record is from RefSeq and is a predicted model, not a curated record. The transcript is spliced from 3 exons.